RNAcentral lists this ribosomal RNA (541 nucleotides) under uncultured bacterium. RNAcentral describes it as "bacterial SSU rRNA". It matches the Rfam family "Bacterial small subunit ribosomal RNA", at positions 774 to 1308 of the family's 1533-position model. The record is from RNAcentral.
ACGUAAUAGAUACCCUGGUAGUCCACGCCCUAAACGAUGUCUACUAGUUGUUGGUGGAGUAAAAUCCAUGAGUAAACGCAGCUAAACGCGUGAAGUAGACCGCCUGGGGAGUACGGUCGCAAGAUUAAAAACUCAAAGGAAUUGACGGGGGCCCGCACAAGCGGUGGAUUAUGUGGAUUAAAUUCGAUGCAACGCGAAAAACCUUACCUGGCCUUGACAUGCCACUAACGAAGCAGAGAUGCAUUAGGUGCCCGUAAGGGAAAGUGGACACAGGUGCUGCAUGGCUGUCGUCAGCUCGUGUCGUGAGAUGUUGGGUUAAGUCCCGCAACGAGCGCAACCCUUGCCAUUAAUUGCCAUCAUUUAGUUGGGCACUUUAAUGGGACUGCCGGUGACAAACCGGAGGAAGGUGGGGAUGACGUCAAGUCCUCAUGGCCCUUAUGGCCAGGGCUUCACACGUAAUACAAUGGUCGGUACAGAGAGUUGCCAACCCGCGAGGGGAGCUAAUCUCAGAAAGCCGAUCGUAGUCCGGAUUGUUCUCUGC